GGAUCUGCAACUGAGAAUGGAAAAGAAAGAAGAGUGUACACUAGUAGGCAGCUCCCUGGGACCUGUGUCUGAUCACAGCCCACAUUCAGCGGGAGGGACCUUCCAAGGCAAGAUCUAAAGUGGCGAUAGCACAGAAAGAAACAGAAGCCUUCUGAGAAGCUCCUUUUGUCUUUCAUAAGUGAAGUGGAAGAACCAGGACUGGACAGAUGGAGAAAUUGAACUGUGAUGCAAUUGAAACAAAGGCCUCAGCUGAUCCCUGGGGGAGCACUGGAGCAGGAAGGCCCCUCAGAGUUAUCCUGAAUUGAGGCAAAGAGGCCGGUCCUUUCAACUUUCCUGGCCCCAACAUCAGUCAGUCAUUGAAUGCAGGCUGCCCCUAGGGAGAAGGCACAGACUUAGGCAAGGCAGCUCCCUUUGGCAGAAGACAAAGCCCAGAGAAAGAGGGAACUCCUGGAGACAAAACUGGCUGUCUUUUUCGGCAACCAACACUCCUAGCUGUCAACAGACAGAAUGAGCCCAUAAAAGUGGGGCGGGUGGGGGGGUGUGGGCAGCAGCCACUGAGGAUCUAUCCCCAGCUUUGCCACCAGCAAGUGAACCCGAACAACCCACUCAGCUUUCCUAAGUUUUCGUUUCCUUAUAUGGAUGUAAGGGAAGCAGAAGAGCCAAGUUCUACCUGAUAUACUUUGCAUUCUGACUUUUUAUUUUAAGAAUUAUUCUAAUUUUCUGUUUCAUUUGCAGUUUUGAAAAUGAUAUUUUCAAGACAGGGCAAAGAGGAGAGAAUCAGAUGGGAAUAUUUUCUGAUUUUCAUAAAAACAGAUGGUUCUAUCUAUGCACUGCUUCAUUUAAAAUAACCUCAAAGUCAGUAUUUAGUUUCCAUAAGCUGAGGAUUUCUGACUUUCUUUUAUCACUCCGCAUCUUCACAAGGUUUCUUGGUUUUAUUAUGCUGCCUGGCUUUGUCACUGUGCUGUGGAAUCCAUUGCUUUAUUUUACGAUCCUAAGUUGUAUCUAUUCACCUUUAAACACACAUACACACGAAGACCAAUUUUCACUGAUGAAUCUAAAAAAGACUUCAGAAUACAAUCUUAUCAAUGUCACUGUGAUUGGGUAAGACUGCUUUUAAACUAUCCCUGGGCAAAAGGUUGAUAACCCAUUCUUAAAUGUCUCCAAGGUGCUCUGUAGGAAUGCGAUAUAUCUUUCAUUCAAGGAUCAGCAACCCCUACAGGUAGGAAGUUCUUUCUGAUAUCUAACCUAAAUCUCUCCUACUGCAAUUUCAUGCCACUUCCUUUUCAUCCUUAAUGAAUUAGGAAAGGAGCUGGUAAUCACCGUCAGUCACUUAACUCUUAGAAUUUUCAUAUGUUUAACUUUACUAGAAUUUAUUUAUACCCAAACAUUGUCUCCUCCAUGACAUUUCAUCCCACUUAGCUAGUAUCUACUAUUUAACUCUUAAGAAAUAUUAUUUAGUCUUUUUAGUACAUUUUCUAGCUUCUAUAUAUAUUUCAUAAACUAUGGCAACCAAACUUAAUGAGUCUUUAAAACACCGUGAAUGAUGAAGUCUUUGUUAAUUUGGGGGUUGGCAUGUUACAAUCUAACGUAGAUUAGCUUUCAAAUUGCC
Molecule: long non-coding RNA, 1609 nt
Organism: Equus caballus (horse)
Lineage: Eukaryota; Metazoa; Chordata; Mammalia; Perissodactyla; Equidae
Source: Ensembl